This is a long non-coding RNA of Mus caroli (Ryukyu mouse), 443 nucleotides long. RefSeq lists it as uncharacterized. The record is from RefSeq and is a predicted model, not a curated record. Lineage: Eukaryota; Metazoa; Chordata; Mammalia; Rodentia; Muridae.
GUGUGCGUCCUCAGCUGGCAGCCAUGGCUGGCGGGUCCUUCCUCGCACGUGCUGCGGCCCUCACCUUAUCUUCCGUCAUCAGGGCACAGGCGCCGUGCAGGGCUAUUCCGAGUCCAGGUAAAGAUGGCUGAGCUCGGUGGCAGGAGGUCAGCCUGCAGUGGAGCAGGGACGUUUGCCCUGGGGAGACACGUGCCACCGGGUGGACAUCGAGGCCCUGGGGGUGGCCCUACAGCGUGGAAGGGAUGACCGAGCUCUGGAAGAUGUCCUGUCUAGGAAACCUAAGGUGCUAGAGUUAGAAGAAACUUGAUAGCACUUCAGAGACCAUCAGGCUGUUUCGUGGAACUUCCACCAAAGAGAUGCAGAAAUGGAGACUCCAGAGCUGGAGAGAGAGAUGACUCAACGGUUAAGAGCACUGACUGCUCUUCCAGAGGUCCUGAGUUCAA